RNAcentral lists this unclassified non-coding RNA (911 nucleotides) under Hevea brasiliensis (rubber tree). Lineage: Eukaryota; Viridiplantae; Streptophyta; Magnoliopsida; Malpighiales; Euphorbiaceae. The record is from RNAcentral.
GAGUUUGCAAAGAAAUAUGAAAGAUAAUGUAUUACCAAUUACCGUUAAGCCUGUGUGUUCUUUUCACUAACACCGAGUAAUAUAGCAAGGUCCUCCACUAGUCAGCAAGUCAGCAACUUAUGUGGCUCAUUUUGCAAAACUGACCUGGAUAUUCAAAUUACUCUGAAACUGGUUGCUGACCUUUUGAUCCACUUGUUUCUCAUUUUACUAUCUGUUCUGUAUUACUGCAAUAAUCUAUGCAGCUGCUGCUCUAGUUCUUCACAUAUUUGAGGUUUAAACUCCAGAAGGCAUGUAACCAUGUUUGUGAGACUAUUGUUAAACUGUGGUGAUUGAGACACAAAAAGAUGACAAUAAGGUUUCCAUAAAGGUCAGUAUCAUUGUCAUAACAGCAAGUUUUUCUCGGUAAUUAUUCUUAUAUGAUUAUUUUACUUCUCUACAAAUUGUCAAAAUUGCCCUGGUUCUUACUUCUCUGUCUCAAUUCUUGUUUGACGUAGUACUGCAUAGGGAUUUUGCUUGAUCCACUUAAAAAUCAGGGAACCUGGCAGCCUAUUUUGUUCACAACUGCCACCAAGAAUUCAUUUUUUUUCCCCUAUUUCCUCUCCCUAUUAUAUUUGAGACUGUCAUCUGUAGAAGAGAAUAUAAAUAGUUUGUUAGAGUUAUGGCUAUUUUUUGUUGGUACAGCAAAAAGUUCUAUACAACAGUGAGAGGCAUGUCCAAGUAUAUGGCUUGACAGCAUAAUAAUUGGUAUGUUCCUGCAGGUCCUACCACUUUGUAGGGUACAGCUUCAGCUUUUUUUUGCGUUUUUCGGUGGUGGUGGUUAGAGAUUGUCUUAUUGGGAAUUAUGUUAUCCUAUUUUUAAAGUACAACUGUAUGUAACAACAAUGAUUAGUAUGUAGACUGUAGUGUACUAG